GACGAACGCUGGCGGCGUGCUUAACACAUGCAAGUCGAACGGAAAGGCCCUGCUUGCAGGGUACUCGAGUGGCGAACGGGUGAGUAACACGUGGGUGAUCUGCCCUGCACUUCGGGAUAAGCCUGGGAAACUGGGGCUAAUACCGGAGAGGAGCCAUCCUGAGUGUGAGGGUUGGAAAGUUUUUUCGGUGUAGGAUGAGCUCGCGGCCUAUCAGCUUGUUGGUGGGGUAGUGGCCUACCAAGGCGGCGACGGGUAGCCGGCCUGAGAGGGUGGACGGCCACAUUGGGACUGAGAUACGGCCCAGACUCCUACGGGAGGCAGCAGUGGGGAAUAUUGCACAAUGGGCGCAAGCCUGAUGCAGCGACGCCGCGUGGGGGAUGACGGCCUUCGGGUUGUAAACUCCUUUCGCUAGGGACGAAGCUUUUUGUGACGGUACCUAGAUAAGAAGCACCGGCUAACUACGUG
Molecule: ribosomal RNA, 465 nt
Filed under: uncultured bacterium
Lineage: Bacteria
Description: partial 16S ribosomal RNA
Rfam family: Bacterial small subunit ribosomal RNA
Source: RNAcentral